UAGGAAAUAAUAUAAAGGGAGUAUGGAGGAUUUUGAUUCCUUCUGUGCAGGUUCGAUCCCUGCUUUUCUAA
Molecule: transfer RNA, 71 nt
Filed under: Melanocharis nigra (Black berrypecker)
Lineage: Eukaryota; Metazoa; Chordata; Aves; Passeriformes; Melanocharitidae
Description: tRNA-Gln
Rfam family: tRNA
About the family: Transfer RNA (tRNA) molecules are approximately 80 nucleotides in length. Their secondary structure includes four short double-helical elements and three loops (D, anti-codon, and T loops).
Source: RNAcentral